AUAUACUUUUUGUGGAUAUAUUGAGAAAAUCAACUUUUCAUUUUUCUGAUCUCUGAAAAUUUAUACCCCGCUUUGUACACAAUUAUAUAUAGGAAGCAUUGAAUGCAUGCUAUUUUUUAAAUCGAUCUAACACAAAACUUACUUAUUCAAAAAGUAUUGUCUUUAUUUCAAAAAAUAGAAAAAGAUUCUUAGUUUCCAUUCCUUUGCAAUUCCAUAAUGCAAAAAGUGGAUAAAAUGGUGAAAUUCUACUACCGAAAACAUAUAUAUUUGCCUAUAUUUCUUUUAUUUACUUUAUGUUAGAGCGCCCUCUACUGACCACAAUCCACAAACUAACUAUACAACAACUAUUACGAAACGGUAAACAAAUUUGGUGCAUCGGGUUUUUUUUUGGCUCAAAGUUAUACUCCUCGUUUACUUGGCACGAUUACCGUUUGUUUUUAUUGAUUAUGGUUUUAUACAUACGCAUUCUGAGAUGUUCGAACUUGCCUUUGAAGAAUUUUCAGUUCGAACUGUGCUGUGAUCAGGUGAUCGGAUAAUUGAGACGGAAAUUGCAUGAGAAGGCAGCCGAAGCUCCGGGCAUGAUCGAGUAAGUGGACGAUCGUUGUUCAUGGCUGCGAGUGUCACUGUCAGAUUUGAUUGAAUCGUGGUUGAUUAUUCCAGCACGAUUUCGUCUAAUAUGUGAUCGUCUGUGCUGAGUGAUGUUGGUGCAUACAGUGGUAAUGAAAAGAAAAUUGGCAACCAGUCAUCUACAAGACGCUGCAUUCAUAUAUACUGUAUGGAAAGGAACAAGAAAAUGGAGGUAGUUUGUCACCUUAAUUGAAGUGCAGUCGACAUAUAGCCGAGUUUACAGUUGACAGUUUAUAUCUUAUGGGUAGAGAAUUUGAACUAAUAAGGAAAGUCCCUGCAGGAAACAAAUCAGGUAUGAUGGCCGUGAUGAGAUAGUGCUGAAAUCUGCGACUAUUUCAAGCAGUCUUGCCUGUCCAGCAUUUACAGACAUGACAUUUGAAGCUCUAUCCAUAGUCAGUGUAGUGAUGGAACCCAUUCAUUUAUACACCUUUUCUGCAUAUGUUUGAAGCAAGAAGCACCUGUUGGACAGAACACAGUAAGCCUGUAAUGUCAAGGGCUAUGAGAGUUGAUUCUUCCAUCACAGCACUGCACCUAGAGGUUGUAACCUUUCUGGCAGACCACACUUUCUACUCGACACCUUUCUUCCAUCACAGCACUGCACCUAGAGGUUGCAACCUUUCUGGCAGACCACACUUUCUACUCGACACCUUUCUUCCAUCACAGCACUGCACCUAGAGGUUGCAACCUUUCUGGCAGACCACACUUUCUACUCGACACCUUUUCUGCAUAUGUUUGAAGCAAGAAGCACCUGUUGGACAGAACACAGUAAGCCUGUAAUGUCAAGGGCUAUGAGAGUUGAUUCUUCCAUCACAGCACUGCACCUAGAGGUUGCAACCUUUCUGGCAGACCACACUUUCUACUCGUGUCAGUUUCACAUACAUACUCAACCAUGAGGGAGAUAUACCUUGCAGACAAUCAACUGAUGCAAUUCUGGUUGAUCUUACAAAUAUCAUUAUACAGGUAGAAGUUAAAGGAGAAUGAAACCAUUGGAACAAGAUAGCUUGUGUGAAAACAGAAAAAGCAAAGAAACAGAUCAACGAA
RNAcentral lists this long non-coding RNA (1668 nucleotides) under Lytechinus variegatus (green sea urchin). RNAcentral describes it as "uncharacterized LOC121410867". The record is from RNAcentral. Lineage: Eukaryota; Metazoa; Echinodermata; Echinoidea; Temnopleuroida; Toxopneustidae.